Molecule: transfer RNA, 78 nt
Filed under: Caulobacter virus Magneto
Lineage: Duplodnaviria; Heunggongvirae; Uroviricota; Caudoviricetes; Jeanschmidtviridae
Also listed under: 1 other name
Description: tRNA-Arg
Rfam family: tRNA
About the family: Transfer RNA (tRNA) molecules are approximately 80 nucleotides in length. Their secondary structure includes four short double-helical elements and three loops (D, anti-codon, and T loops).
Source: RNAcentral
GCGCGGGUAGCUCAAUGGACCCAGAGCAGCCGUCUUCUACACGGUGGGUUGGGGGUUCGAGUCCCUCCCCGCGCGCCA